CACAGUCAUCUCAUCUGGAGCCAGGGGCCAUGGAACAUUUAUUCUUAAUACUCACCAACAUGAAGGUCUCUGACUGAGCUCCCCGUCAAGACUCUUUGAGAUGCAUCUAAAAAUCACUGGGUGAGGAAAAGGGGAGAGAAAGAGAACACAAAGAAUAAAUAUGUAGAGCAGAAGGAUCCUCUGAAGGCUUGAACGUGUCUGCUCUGUGCCCAGGUCAGCACACCUCACUCAUUCUUUUCUGCUG
This 244-nucleotide long non-coding RNA is filed under the name Cyanistes caeruleus (blue tit). RNAcentral's name for it is "lncRNA (ENSCCEG00000021333.1)". Lineage: Eukaryota; Metazoa; Chordata; Aves; Passeriformes; Paridae. The record is from RNAcentral.